UGGGGAAUAUUGGACAAUGGGCGAAAGCCUGAUCCAGCCAUGCCGCGUGUGUGAAGAAGGUCUUCGGAUUGUAAAGCACUUUAAGUUGGGAGGAAGGGCAGUAAGCGAAUACCUUGCUGUUUUGACGUUACCGACAGAAUAAGCACCGGCUAACUCUGUGCCAGCAGCCGCGGUAAUACAGAGGGUGCAAGCGUUAAUCGGAAUUACUGGGCGUAAAGCGCGCGUAGGUGGUUCGUUAAGUUGAAUGUGAAAGCCCCGGGCUCAACCUGGGAACUGCAUCCAAAACUGGCGAGCUAGAGUAGGGCGGAGGGUGGUGGAAUUUCCUGUGUAGCGGUGAAAUGCGUAGAUAUAGGAAGGAACACCAGUGGCGAAGGCGACCACCUGGGCUCAUACUGACACUGAGGUGCGAAAGCGUGGGGAGCAAACAGG
This 429-nucleotide ribosomal RNA is filed under the name Pseudomonadota bacterium. Its description in RNAcentral is "Proteobacteria bacterium partial 16S ribosomal RNA". It matches the Rfam family "Bacterial small subunit ribosomal RNA", at positions 355 to 776 of the family's 1533-position model. The record is from RNAcentral. Lineage: Bacteria; Pseudomonadati; Pseudomonadota.